RNAcentral lists this ribosomal RNA (48 nucleotides) under Scolecobasidium globale. Its description in RNAcentral is "partial 28S ribosomal RNA". The record is from RNAcentral. Lineage: Eukaryota; Fungi; Ascomycota; Dothideomycetes; Venturiales; Sympoventuriaceae.
CAAAGUCAUCUUUUCGAGGAAGGGCGACGGAAGAGAAAUGGAUUGGCC